CGACAAUUGGCGUUUGACGCUAGCUUCACUGCAUAAAUGUUCGAUCUCUUUCAACUACGUCGAGGCUUGCGCUUUAUGGGAUAACGCUUUUCGGUAAUUAUUGUUUUCUCAUAGCAUACGGUGUGAUUAUUGAAGUUUUUCAUUUUUAUUCUAGUCAAAGACAUGGCUCUUAGCGUUGCACUUCCCUUAACUGGCUUGGAGACAGAUAAUUUUAACUCGUUCAGCUCGUUUGGUCAUAUAAUUGAGAUCGCGGGUUUAUCUCAAUCGCAAUCGAGCCCAAGCCCGUCAGUGUCCAGUGAAUCUAGCGGUAUCGGUUCGCUAGGAUCACUCAAAUCCGAAUCAGUGAACAGUGACUCCCUGCCUUCAAGUCCUCAAACGACUGAAAAGAAAAUCUUCGAACCAGUCUUGCAGCUGCAGCCGCGCCCACAGGAGAAGAAAGCCGAAGAUGUCAAAGUUACGUAUGGUGGCAGAGACAUCCUCAAUCUGAUGGCAAAUCUCACUGACCCGAGAUGGAGCUAUCGUGCCACAAUAUUGCCACCAAAUAAUCCUGCAUUGUUUUUCGCAAAUCGCUCCCAGUAUCAUCGCUUGGGACCAUAUGGAACUCGCACACAGUAUGUAAAAGACAACUGCCGUCUCUGUGGAUUCACAUGGGUUGUGGCUGCUACAGAUUGAUGUGAUUUUCUGUCACAUUAAAUUUCGAACAAACAUUAAGUUGAAAGGGUACAACUGGGACACAUCAGGCUGCAUAUCAAUGUUUUUAUUUAUUCUGACUGUCACAUUUGCACUUCAGAACCAAUGACUCAACAAACAAUGUUCAACAGUUUUUACAAUUUUACCAAAACUGUCCAUAAUUAGUGUUUUGUUUAGAAAGGGCAGUGAUAAAAAUCAAUCAUUGUAUUGUUUGCUCACUUAUCAAAAUUUAUUUACUUUGUUUACAUUUAUUUUGAGAUGAAUCUUUAUUUCAUUGUUUGAAUUGUAGUUAUUGGUUUGUGACUAUCCUACUAGUAGUGUCUGUAUGCUUUCCUGCUGUGACCCAGUUCUACAGAUGACUGUGGAAUAUGUGGCUAUUGUUUCUCACGUUAAAGAUACAUUUAAUGUGACUUAAUACUGUGAUCUUAAUUUAAACAAGACAUUUUUGUACAAUUUCAUUAAAUAGAAACACACAAUGGACAUGCGAAUUAGACAUAGUUUCUAAUCACUUUUUGGAUUGUGUGAUAAUUAGGCUUAAUUUAAAAACAACAAUAUUUCUACUUGAAUAUUAUGCCAAAAAAAUUUACAUUUAUUCCAAAUCAACAUUACUAGCUCCCAUUUUCAAUUAACUUAAAAAAUCAUUUGCUAAAACAUAUCUCAAAACUCAAAUUAUUUUACUGUUGAAAUUUUAAAAUAAUAUAUUCAUUUUAUUUUAUUCUACACUUAGUUCCUCUUAGAAAUGUUAAUGAAUUAAUUUUUUUUUAUCCAAAGAAUAUUAUAUUAACAAUAAAUUGUUAGCCACAAUUUAAAUUGAUUAGUAUAAAGGACUUGUUCAGCUCAUGGAUUCCAAGUCCGGGUACUCUUAAAGCAAUAUUUAAAUUUUAGACAUAAACUUACAAUAACAUGAGCUACUUCCCACCAUAGUGUGUAAUAAUUAUUGUUUAAAUAUUGUUUUACUCUAUUCAUUAGUUUCUAGAUAUAAUUAUUAAGAUAUAUUCCACAGUCAUUUAUCAAUAGGAUUGUCAUUGUUUAAACCAAAAGGCUGCUUCUCGGAUGUUAUUUAAAUUUACGAUUUUGACGAGAUAGGCACGAAUUUAAAGCCAAGCUGUAGGUUAAUUUUUAAGGUCUAAUAACGAUUGUUGGAUUUUACCGUCCGAGCAUAUUAAUACAUAAAAGUGAUGACAUAUAGCUAUGAUCUAGACAGUUCCCAAAAACUCCCUAUAUGACUUGAUGAGAAAGCUUGAACACCUCAUUUAAUUAUAUGACGAGCCCAUACAAAACAUAGUCAAAUGGGUUAUCAGUGCAUAUCAUCACAAAUUAAUGCAGUGAUUAGAUAUUCUAAGGUAUUAGUAGUUGUUACAGACCGUUUUAAAACGUUUGAGUCAUUGAAUUGCCCAGAUACUGGGUUCCUAGUGAAAUUAUAAUAAGUGUCGUUACAGACUGGCAAUAUCUCUAUGUAUGUGCAUAUAUAAUAUUAAUGUACUAUUCAUGGUCUCUUUAAUUUAGUCAAGGUAUUUAAUAGUGUGAGUCUCUUGAAUAACAUAUAAGUAAAUGUAUAACAUACUAACUAAAUUAAUCAAUAAUUUAAUUGAUACUGUCCUCCUGUGCAAGUUUAGUUCUACUAUGUUGAGAUCAGCUUUAAAAUUUGAACUGGACUUUUUGUACACUAUUAUUAUUAAUGUUGACAUAUUUCCCACAAAGUUAUUUUUAUAAAGAUAAAAUAUUGAUACGAGACAAUACAUUAUAUAGUUCUCCAAAUUUUCUUUGUUAUAAAAAUGGAGUUCGCUUGACGGUCGGCAAAUUUUGGAGGGGACCAACAUCCGCACAUUUUCUUUUUAUGUUUUGAUGACCUAUGUUUAAAAUGUUAUGACCACAACAACAGUUUAUAGAGAUCUACAUUAAAUUAUACUUUAUUUUUAGAUGGAGUCAUAAAUGCAAGUCUGUUUUUUAUGUGUUUGUACAACGAACUGGGCUAUGAACACAAAAAAAUUAUAGUUAAAAUGUUAAACAAAUUGUUUAUUUAUAUAUUUAUUUAUGAUUCAGUGUGUAAUGACUGAACAUAUAGCAUAGAUCUCAGAAUGCAGCUGACAUGAGUACAUACUUAAUGCCUGUUUUAGAAGGCACCUCAUAUGAUAACUGUUUGCGAAUAAUGAAUGUAUAGUUCUGUUGAGAGGUGUCUUUGCUUGCCUAGUGUGCUAUAUCCUCAGUCACGCGCACUCGCACGGUUGUUAUUGGUUAUAAUGAAAUCAAUGUUGCAUUCAGAUUAUUUUUAGUUUUUAUCAUUAUUUUGUGACAAAGCUGCAAUCGCAUGUAGUUCAAAGGAAAGUAUUCGGAGCGAAACGCACAGAUGUAGACUAGCUGUUGUUGUGCAUGUCUCCUAAGUGUUAGUUGUGAUGUAAGCGCCGCGAGGUGCUGAGGUACGAUGCAAUAUUUGCAUUCCAGUUUUGUGUUUUAAGUUUAGCAGCCGAGGGUAGUAGUUGUUAAUGUUUAUUUAAAAUCACAUUGCCAAAUAAUUUGGGUGUUGUGCUAUUAUUUAUUUAACAAGAAAAUCGAAAAUCAAUUUAUUACUUUCCAUCACUAAUUUUAUUUGUUUGAUCGAGAGUGAAUAAUUAAAGUUGUAUACUAAAUGAUUUUACAAAUGUUUCAAUCAUUACAAUUUUUAUGCAUUUUAAAAUGUUUAGUCAAAUCAAUUACAUGAUAUUAUUCAUAAUAAUAUUUAUUAUUCUAUGUAUUGUUCUCAUGUUAUUUUAUUUCAUUCAACUGUAGUCAAAUGACAGUAUUUUUAUAACAAAAUUGUAUAAGGAUGAAGGGUUCAGCCAGAGAACGUCUGCAUCCGGUGUUGCUACGCUAAAUUUGACGUAAUAAAUGCAUAUCGACACCGAUGUCGCACGUACUUCCGGCCUGUAUUACGUAUAUCUGAUAAGCAUUAUGUAGGUUUAGCGAAAUAGAAAUAACUCGGGAGACGAACUCCAGGCACCAAAUCUUAUUGGUUCAAUGUUAUUCUCGUAUUAUGGUGAUAUAGUGCGUCGCGCUCGGCGCAGAGCUCAAUAUUUUUAGUGACCCUUAAGAAAAUUAAUACCUCUUUUGAAAAGAAUAUAAUAAUUAUUACAUAGUAUAUUCAAUCGAUGAUCACAUAUUAUGUAUUUCCCUGUUUAUUUUGAUGUGAUAUCAUAAAUGACUGAUCUGAAUUUAGUUUUUAAGUUGGUUAUCGAUGUGCAGUGCUAUUUCGAGAGUAUAAUUAAGAUUUAAUAUUGAAAAGUGCCAAUGCUCGUAAUUUAAUCUAUAUGACUGUUCCUUUAAUGUAGCUGUGACAGCUCGACUCCAACAUCGGAAGAGAGCUCGUCUCAUCUUGUCCACUUCAGUAUAAUAUUAUUAAGCAACUUCCUUCUAACGCUAAGUAUAUCAAAUGUUAAUGUUUGUAACGAACCACGUAACGUGCACAAUCUCAGUAAUGCUUGCAAUAUUAUGUAUAAAAUGUUUUAAUUCCUCAAUUUAAUUUAAUCCAGCGUAAUGUUAAGAGUACAAUAUUUAAUGAUGUUAUAUCAUUCUAGUAUCAAAAUUAACCGAAGAUGUUAAUAUUAUUAUUAUUAGUUAGGUAAAAUUUUAAACUAGCUUCGUAUAAUUGGGAUGUUUUAGUAUUUAGUAGUGUAUAAUUACUACGUAGUGGCAAGCAAGAUGUCUCGUGUGUGAUGUGAAUAAUGUUAGUGGCAAUAAUACUCGAUGUAAGCUCCCUGCCAAGAGAGUUGUACAGGGUCGCGAGCAUACACAACUGAAAGAUAGACACUAGGCGUUUAUUUGUUGUAAUUAUAAUAAUAGCCGUAGGUAUUUUAUCGUACUUAAAUAAUUAUUCUUGCGAUGCCUUAAUUCUGGUUGUCAAUUAGACACGUCUCUGCCUAGAGUGUUAUCAUUGUUUUUAUUUAUUUUAGUUUUUGCUGUUCCGGCUUCCUCCGUGAACUUCCAGUCCAGGCUGUUCUUUUAAAAUAAUUUUGAGGUCGAUUUAUUUUUACCUAAGUGUUCUUAUUAAAUGUUACCAAAAUGUUUUUAAUAAAAUAUUUUUAUAUGUAA
Molecule: long non-coding RNA, 4755 nt
Organism: Bombyx mori (domestic silkworm)
Lineage: Eukaryota; Metazoa; Arthropoda; Insecta; Lepidoptera; Bombycidae
Exons: 3
Source: RefSeq, a predicted model, not a curated record